AGCAGCCGCGGUAAUUCCAGCUCCAAUAGCGUAUAUUAAAGUUGUUGCAGUUAAAAAGACUCGUAGUUGAAUUUCGGGAUUGGCGCAUCGGUCGUGCCUCACGGGGUAUGAACUGGUGCAGUCAAUUUCUCACCUUCUGGAGAACCGCGAUGUCCUUAAUUGGAUGCCGCGGGGAACCAGGACCUUUACUUUGAAAAAUUAGAGUGUUUAAAGCAGGCAUUUUUGCUUGAAUACAUUAGCAUGGAAUAAUAAAAUAGGACGGCAUGGUUCUAUUUGUUGGUUUCUAGGACCACCGUAAUGAUUAAUAGGGAUAGUUGGGGGCAUUAGUAUUCAAUUGUCAGAGGUGAAAUUCUUGGAUUUAUUGAAGACUAACUACUGCGAAAGCAUUUGCCAAGGAUGUUUUCAUUAAUCAAGAACGAAAGUUAGGGGAUCGAAGACGAUCAGAUACCGUCGUAGUCUUAACCAUAAACUAUAGCCGACU
This 481-nucleotide ribosomal RNA is filed under the name uncultured Entrophospora. Its description in RNAcentral is "SSU rRNA". It matches the Rfam family "Eukaryotic small subunit ribosomal RNA", at positions 569 to 1048 of the family's 1831-position model. Lineage: Eukaryota; Fungi; Glomeromycota; Glomeromycetes; Entrophosporales; Entrophosporaceae. The record is from RNAcentral.